Molecule: ribosomal RNA, 375 nt
Filed under: uncultured bacterium
Lineage: Bacteria
Description: bacterial SSU rRNA
Rfam family: Bacterial small subunit ribosomal RNA
Source: RNAcentral
AGAGUUUGAUCCUGGCUCAGAUUGAACGCUGGCGGCAUGCUUUACACAUGCAAGUCGAACGGCAGCACGGGGGCAACCCUGGUGGCGAGUGGCGAACGGGUGAGUAAUAUAUCGGAACAUAUCCGGAAGUGGGGGAUAACGUACCGAAAGGUACGCUAAUACCGCAUAUGCCCUGAGGGGGAAAGGGGGGGAUCGCAAGACCUCUCGCUUUCGGAGUGGCCGAUAUCGGAUUAGCUAGUUGGUGAGGUAAAGGCUCACCAAGGCGACGAUCCGUAGCUGGUCUGAGAGGACGACCAGCCACACUGGAACUGAGACACGGUCCAGACUCCUACGGGAGGCAGCAGUGGGGAAUUUUGGACAAUGGGCGAAAGCCUG